This 254-nucleotide ribosomal RNA is filed under the name uncultured bacterium. RNAcentral describes it as "partial 16S ribosomal RNA". It matches the Rfam family "Bacterial small subunit ribosomal RNA", at positions 524 to 776 of the family's 1533-position model. The record is from RNAcentral.
UACGUAGGUGGCAAGCGUUGUCCGGAUUUACUGGGCGCAAAGAGCGCGCAGGCGGUCGGAUAAGUCGAAUGUGAAAGCCCCCGGCUCAACUGGGGAGGGUCAUUCGAUACUGUUCGACUCGAAGGCAGGAGAGGGAAGUGGAAUUCCCGGUGUAGUGGUGAAAUGCGUAGAUAUCGGGAGGGAACACCAGUGGCGAAGGCGACUUCCUGGCCUGUUCUUGACGCUGAGGCGCGAAAGCUAGGGGAGCAAACGGG